GUGAACGCUGGCGGUAGGCCUAACACAUGCAAGUCGAACGGCAGCACAGUAAGAGCUUGCUCUUACGGGUGGCGAGUGGCGGACGGGUGAGGAAUACAUCGGAAUCUACUUUUUCGUGGGGGAUAACGUAGGGAAACUUACGCUAAUACCGCAUACGACCUACGGAUGAAAGCAGGGGAUCUUCGGACCUUGCGCGAUUGAAUGAGCCGAUGUCGGAUUAGCUAGUUGGCGGGGUAAAGGCCCACCAAGGCGACGAUCCGUAGCUGGUCUGAGAGGAUGAUCAGCCACACUGGAACUGAGACACGGUCCAGACUCCUACGGGAGGCAGCAGUGGGGAAUAUUGGACAAUGGGCGCAAGCCUGAUCCAGCCAUACCGCGUGGGUGAAGAAGGCCUUCGGGUUGUAAAGCCCUUUUGUUGGGAAAGAAAAGCAGCAGGUUAAUACCCCGCUGUUCUGACGGUACCCAAAGAAUAAGCACCGGCUAACUUCGUG
RNAcentral lists this ribosomal RNA (491 nucleotides) under uncultured bacterium. RNAcentral describes it as "partial 16S ribosomal RNA". It matches the Rfam family "Bacterial small subunit ribosomal RNA", at positions 29 to 507 of the family's 1533-position model. The record is from RNAcentral.